RNAcentral lists this ribosomal RNA (492 nucleotides) under uncultured bacterium. RNAcentral's name for it is "partial 16S ribosomal RNA". It matches the Rfam family "Bacterial small subunit ribosomal RNA", at positions 29 to 507 of the family's 1533-position model. The record is from RNAcentral.
AGUGAACGCUGGCGGUAGGCCUAACACAUGCAAGUCGAACGGCAGCACAGUAAGAGCUUGCUCUUACGGGUGGCGAGUGGCGGACGGGUGAGGAAUACAUCGGAAUCUACUUUUUCGUGGGGGAUAACGUAGGGAAACUUACGCUAAUACCGCAUACGACCUACGGGUGAAAGCAGGGGAUCUUCGGACCUUGCGCGAUUGAAUGAGCCGAUGUCGGAUUAGCUAGUUGGCGGGGUAAAGGCCCACCAAGGCGACGAUCCGUAGCUGGCCUGAGAGGAUGAUCAGCCACACUGGAACUGAGACACGGUCCAGACUCCUACGGGAAGCAGCAGUGGGGAAUAUUGGACAAUGGGCGCAAGCCUGAUCCAGCCAUACCGCGUGGGUGAAGAAGGCCUUCGGGUUGUAAAGCCCUUUUGUUGGGAAAGAAAAGCAGCAGGUUAAUACCCCGCUGUUAUGACGUUACCCAAAGAAUAAGCACCGGCUAACUUCGUG